This 263-nucleotide ribosomal RNA is filed under the name uncultured bacterium. Its description in RNAcentral is "partial 16S ribosomal RNA". It matches the Rfam family "Bacterial small subunit ribosomal RNA", at positions 95 to 354 of the family's 1533-position model. The record is from RNAcentral.
CCGGCGCACGGGUGAGUAACACGUAUGGAACCUGCCCUAUGCAGGGGGAUAAGCGGAAGAAAUUCCGUCUAAUACCGCAUAACACCAUUUGGAGACAUCUCCAGGGGGUCAAAGGAGGCGACUCCGGCAUAGGAUGGCCAUGCGUCGCAUUAGCUAGCCGGCGGGGUAACGGCCCACCGAGGCGACGAUGCGUAGGGGUUCUGAGAGGAAGGUCCCCCACACUGGUACUGAGACACGGACCAGACUCCUACGGAAGGCAGCAG